CCCGGGUCAGCGUGUAGUUGAACCAGUCCUUGCUCCUGAUAAGCUUCCCGUAUACGGUUUCAUGAGCCAAGGCAUUAACGGGUAAGCGGGGUCUCCAAGGAUCACAAUGGCAUUUCGACGUCCCUACUGUGAUCUUGCGGG
Non-coding RNA from Chelonoidis abingdonii (Abingdon island giant tortoise), 141 nucleotides. The record is from RefSeq and is a predicted model, not a curated record. Lineage: Eukaryota; Metazoa; Chordata; Testudines; Testudinidae.